GGGGUUGUAGCUCAGUGGCUGAGCCCUUGCUUCACAUGCAUGAGGCAUUGGGUUCAAUCCUCAGCACCACCU
This is a non-coding RNA of Ictidomys tridecemlineatus (thirteen-lined ground squirrel), 72 nucleotides long. The record is from Rfam. Lineage: Eukaryota; Metazoa; Chordata; Mammalia; Rodentia; Sciuridae.